Long non-coding RNA from Anser brachyrhynchus (Pink-footed goose), 1720 nucleotides. The record is from Ensembl. Lineage: Eukaryota; Metazoa; Chordata; Aves; Anseriformes; Anatidae.
AUGGCGAGGAGGGCUCCCCGCAAGAGGCGCCCAGGGGCAUCGCCAGGCCCCUCGCAGAGCGGGGCCGCCUGCGAGGCCGCAGGGGAGGCAGCGGGGCCGAGCCACGGGUGCCUCCACGUGCAGGUUGGGCUGCAGGAGGUGAGGCACUCUCUGGAGUUAGUUCCUGGCUCUGCCAGCCAAGAGCCUGCAAGGCAGCAUGGCACAGCCACGGAAGCUGCAGGGACGGUCGUCAGCACUGCUCACCGUCUGGCAAGGGCCCUCGUGCUGCAGAGCCUCCUCAAGACUUGCACCUCUGCUGCGCAAAAGAUGACCCUGCACAGGAAGGAGUUCUUGAAAAUCUUCAUCGUGGUCUCAGUGACCCUUGCAGCAGCUGGCGCGCUUUGCUGCGGGACCUCGCGGCUGGCCUGGAAGACGGGGGCAAGGAAAGCGGCCCAGAAGCUGCUGGAAGAAAUGGAGUCUGUGCGGAACUCCCUGGAUUCCAUGGAGGUCCAAGGCAAGAGGAUACGGCUCCUGCUGGAGCAGGUGGCUUCGCUGAGGGCAGAGCUCAGCAGCGUGACGAAGGUGGUUCAGGAGGUGAAACGGGCAGCCUCUGAGACGGCUUCGGAAGACGACGUUCAGCCGUCUGACCGGGCGCCGAAAAGCUCAGCUGAGCGCCUCCACCCGACGAGGACAGCGACGAGAGACGUGGGGCUGGCCAGCGGCAUCAAUAACACUGUGUAAGCACCGCGUUCUCCUAGCCUGUGGCCUCUUGCACCCUUACGCUCCUUUCUCCAUUAAAGGUGCCACCAACGACCGUGUCCGAGACCUGCGAAUGCCAAGCGAGUUGGUCCUGCAGGCUUUUUUUUUUCGCUUCUUCUGUGCCACAAAUCCUUCUGAUAACUAUCUCGCGGGUUUCAGCCCUUCCUGUGAGGUUAGCAGAUGCCCCCCACAGCCCGGUUGCGUUGCUCAAGCCCGCGGUGUCGAUAAGGAUCCUGGAACCAAAGGUCUAAUGCAGGGCACCCUUCUCGCGCCCUGAGGCCUCCCGGGGACGCUUCCUGCAAUCUGCUGUCUUCUCGAGGCGUCACAGAGCUCCCCAGUGUACUCCAGGACGCCGCAGAGGCCUCCCAGGGGCCCACAUUUUGUUCUAAAACCAGUUAGAGCCAUUGGAACGCUCUCCAGGGACCUCGUGGGUGCCCUGGAGUCCUUCCAGGCAGCACUACAGCCCUUCCACCAAUCUAUAAUCCACUCUAGAGUCCUCACGUGUCUACAAGGAGCACCCGGUGCACUCGAGCUCUCCCUGAAACCCUCCCAGUGACCUCCAGUGUCCUCUAGGAUGCCGCAGAGGCCUCCCAGUGCUGCCUUCAAGCAUCCUGGGGCCCUGCAGUGCUCCCUAGGACCUUCUGGAGGCCUCGAAGGGCCCUGCAGUGUACUCUAGCACACCAUGAAGACCUUGCUGGACUCUCCAGUGCUCUCUGCAGUCCCCUGCAGGCAUCCCAGUCCCCCCCCCGCUGUUCUCCAGUGCCCCGUACGUGCCUCCCAAUGCUCCCGGUGCAGUCUAGCAUCCGAUACAGGUCUCCCAGUGUGCCCUAGAAUCCUCCCGGGGCACUUGAGAGCACUCUGGGUUGCCCUAGGAGCCUCCUCUUGCACCCUAGAGGCCUCCCAAGGACACUUCCUAUAAUCUGCUGGCCUCUUUGCGGCCUCACAGGGCUUUCUAGCGUGCUCCAGGGCACCCUAGGGGCCA